UACUAGACCAUCAAAGAUGCAGAUUUGGAUUUUCUAUUUCAUAGUUAUUGAAAUCAUAAUGGAGCUGUUCUCAAAACAUUGGGUGACAAAGAAUUCACUUUUACAAAAAUCGAGCAGGAUAUUAAAGACAGCGAACUAUAGAACAAAUAUGGCGAAGCUGCAUGAAGUCUAUGUUGAAUUUUAUUAUUGAAAAAAAAUAUGCUCUUCAGAUUUAAUGUUAGUUUUUAUUGUUUAACAGUAAUUGCAGUUUUCGAAUACCUGUAAAAUAAACCUAAUUCUUAAAUUAA
Molecule: long non-coding RNA, 287 nt
Organism: Stegodyphus dumicola
Lineage: Eukaryota; Metazoa; Arthropoda; Arachnida; Araneae; Eresidae
Source: RefSeq, a predicted model, not a curated record